This 256-nucleotide ribosomal RNA is filed under the name uncultured prokaryote. RNAcentral describes it as "partial 16S ribosomal RNA". It matches the Rfam family "Archaeal small subunit ribosomal RNA", at positions 472 to 728 of the family's 1478-position model. The record is from RNAcentral.
AAUACCAGCACCCCGAGUGGUCGGGACGAUUAUUGGGCCUAAAGCAUCCGUAGCCGGUUUUACAAGUCCUCCGUUAAAUCCAACUGCUUAACAGAUGGGCUGCGGAGGAUACUAUAAGACUAGGAGGCAGGAGAGGCAAGCGGUACUCAGUGGGUAGGGGUAAAAUCCGUUGAUCCAUUGAAGACCACCAGUGGCGAAGGCGGCUUGCCAGAAUGCGCUCGACGGUGAGGGAUGAAAGCUGGGGGAGCAAACCGGA